RNAcentral lists this ribosomal RNA (158 nucleotides) under Drechslera avenae. RNAcentral's name for it is "5.8S ribosomal RNA". It matches the Rfam family "5.8S ribosomal RNA". Rfam says of the family: 5.8S ribosomal RNA (5.8S rRNA) is a component of the large subunit of the eukaryotic ribosome. It is transcribed by RNA polymerase I as part of the 45S precursor that also contains 18S and 28S rRNA. Functionally, it is thought that 5.8S rRNA may be involved in ribosome translocation. The record is from RNAcentral. Lineage: Eukaryota; Fungi; Ascomycota; Dothideomycetes; Pleosporales; Pleosporaceae.
CAACUUUCAACAACGGAUCUCUUGGUUCUGGCAUCGAUGAAGAACGCAGCGAAAUGCGAUAAGUAGUGUGAAUUGCAGAAUUCAGUGAAUCAUCGAAUCUUUGAACGCACAUUGCGCCCUUUGAUAUUCCAAAGGGCAUGCCUGUUCGAGCGUCAUUU